Molecule: transfer RNA, 76 nt
Filed under: Gammaproteobacteria bacterium
Lineage: Bacteria; Pseudomonadati; Pseudomonadota; Gammaproteobacteria
Also listed under: 4 other names
Description: tRNA-Lys
Rfam family: tRNA
About the family: Transfer RNA (tRNA) molecules are approximately 80 nucleotides in length. Their secondary structure includes four short double-helical elements and three loops (D, anti-codon, and T loops).
Source: RNAcentral
GGGCCGUUAGCUCAGUUGGUAGAGCAGUGGACUUUUAAUCCAUUGGUCGAAGGUUCGAAUCCUUCACGGCCCACCA